This 832-nucleotide long non-coding RNA is filed under the name Salvia miltiorrhiza (redroot sage). RNAcentral describes it as "long non-coding RNA (SMIL_LNC000623)". Lineage: Eukaryota; Viridiplantae; Streptophyta; Magnoliopsida; Lamiales; Lamiaceae. The record is from RNAcentral.
GACUUUGUCUUGUGACAAUUUCUUCACGAACUUAUCGACUCUUCAUCAAUGAAGGUCCGGGCGACAGAAAGUGAAGCCGAAGAGGAAGCGACUCCACGCCAGCUUUAAGAACGUUUAAGGUGGGCAUUACUUUUACUAUACGUAUAUAGAGAUCCCCUGCGUGUCGUAGGCCUCUUAUACGAAUAUAUGCAUGAGAUGAUUUUAACUGUUAAUUUCAGUUUAUUAUUAUGCCCAAAUGAUAAAUGAAAAUGUUUAUGAAAUGAAAUGAAAUGUUUAUGAAAUGAUUGACUGCCGAAAAUGUUUAUGUUUUUAUAUGUAUCCUAUCUGUGUUGGUUCGCCAACUUUAAAGGAAAUCCAAUUGGGAUCCUAUGCUAGACAAAGGUCGCUAGCUAGGGUUAACGUGUACACUCAUGGAGACCGCGAGUCGCUUGCGACCGGUCUUGGCGUCCGUGGUAAGGAGGCCUCCUUCCCGGCGCGUGUCAGAAAGGAACAGAUAUGGAUCAUAUGAAGGAAAAUGAUCGACCGAUCGACUUUAUGAAAAUGAUAGAAAUGUUUUAAGUAAGCGCAGGUCUUUCAUGAAAAACCCCUGUGUGUUACUGUUGGCAGUUCAAUUUAUAUUUGUAUGCAUGUUGUAUUUCGGCUAUGCUACUGAGUAUUUUUAUACUCAGCCCUGCAUGUAUUUCUAAAUGUGCAGGUUGAGCAGGCGAUGGAAUGGUUUGGUGUUGAGCGGGAAUUCUUUUGAUGGAUAUGUAAUGAAACCUUGAGUAUGCAUCUCCAUAUGCAUAACUCACACGUUUUUCCGCUGCAAACACUCUGAAUUUGUUAUCGUAUU